Molecule: long non-coding RNA, 3020 nt
Organism: Prinia subflava (tawny-flanked prinia)
Lineage: Eukaryota; Metazoa; Chordata; Aves; Passeriformes; Cisticolidae
Exons: 2
Source: RefSeq, a predicted model, not a curated record
UCGGGAUAGAUCCAGAUGUGCGGGGGGGUGAAUUCAGGUGGAUCCAGAUGUGCGGGAGCUUUUGGAUCGGAUGUGCGGGGAGGUUUUGAAUCCGGGUGGAUCCAGAUGUGCGGGGAGGUUUUGAAUCCGGGUGGAUCCAGAUGUGCGUUUUUGGGCAGGGCCGUAGCGCUCGGAUGCUGCUGACGGGACAAUGAGUGAGGUCUGUCCUUGUCGCGGCUUUGGGGUCCCCGAGGGUGGCUUUGGGCUGAGCCCCCUCCACAGCACACCGAGUUCCUCUGCUCCCGGAGAAACGUGAGAUUUGGGGCCUGAACAAAACACCUAGGCCAGGGUGAGGCUUCGAAUUUACAAAAACCAAAGCAAAAUCAAAAAAAAGAGAGAUGCCAGCGCUGAAGGUGCACAGGAAGGGCGGCCCGUGGCUGUCCCCGAGUGUCACUGAGUGUCACCCACCCCGCGGCACAGCCUGGCAGUGCCUGACAUUACUGCUGAUAACAUCGGAUAAGUAUUGAUAAUAAUUAACAAUACUUAUUUGUGGCCUCGCAGAGAUUGGGAAGGUCUCGGAAUCCUAAGGUACCCCCGGCUGCGGCGGUUCAGUCGCGGAGGGCUCUGAUUUACACCGUGUCACAAAAUUCCCGGGGACAACAGCCGGGAGCGGCUCCUGCUCGGGUGGGGCGAGCGAGGUCGGAGCUUUUUUGGGGGAAAGGAGCGGCUGUGCUGCUCCAGGGCCGCGGGGAAGAGCCCGGCCCUUGCCCCGGGGACACCGGCGGCACCCGGAGCCGCGACACCGCCACCCGGAGCCCUCUGGCCACGCCCACUGCGCAGAUUUCCCGCCCACAAAACACUAACCCCGCCCCCGGCCACGCCCAUGACCACACCCCGCCCCGCCCCUUUGUCCCUGGCCACGCCCCAAUCCCCGCCCCAUGACUCCUCCCCUUGCAAAGCCCCUCCCCCCCGACCACACCCAUGAAUUGGCCCCGCCCCCUGACCUUGCUCCCGCCUAUAUCCCCAUCCCAAAAGUGAAAUCCAGGCCACGCCCCCUCGGCCACGCCCACCCCUCAUCCAUUGACCACACCCCGUCCACGUCAAUCAUUUAUUGGACACGCCCCGAACCGCUCCCUCAUUAAUUAACCGCGCCCUCGCCACGUCAGUCAUGCCUUGGCCACGCCCAUCGGUAUUUGGCCACGCCCAUCGCCCGUUGGCCACGCCCCUUCCCUCCCGCGCGGUGGUGGCGCCCCCUCGCGGCCAGCUCAGGCGUUUUUUCCCUUUUUCCACAUCUUUUAUUUUUCCUUUUUUCCACAUCUUUUAUUUUUCCCCCUCCCUUUUUUCCAUAAAAAUUUUGUCAUAAAAGCCUUCCUCUCGCGCCGUAUACAAAAUAUUCACUCUAGCGAAUAAAUAAAACACGAACGGGCAGGAUGUGACCAGCAUCCAUCCAUCCAUCCCCCCAGUCCUUCCCUGUCCCGGGGAUUCACAACAGCGAAUUCACACAGCAGCUCUCCCUCCUCCACACUCCAAACGCGACAAAGGAAAGGUGAGGCAGGAGUCACCUGUGAGGGAGAGAUUCACCUCAUACCUGGAGGGGAAAAACUCCUGCUCAGCAGCCCUGAGGGGCUCCUACCCAAACCUGGAUAUAAAGGACAAAAUCCCAGAGAAAUCCUGUGCUCACACAGGAAUAUCAGUGACAGCAGGGAAGGGAUGCUCUUACCCAGACUAGAACAUCCAUUGCUGGUCAUACACGUGGUCCUGAUGCAGAAAUUUUCUUAGAAGAAGCCAAAAAAAGCCAAUUUUGUGAAGAUUUCCCCUCUCCCUCACCCUGAUCUCCCUUUACAAGCCCCAGCUCUGAGCGCCUCUGACCCUUUUAUCACCUGGGGGUGUGAAAUGAAGAAUUUAAGGCCUUUCCCACCAAACCCCUUCACCUGAAGCUCAGUGUGGAAGCACCUGAGGCACUUAAAUAUCAAAAGCAUUCCCUGUGCAGGGGAAAGUUCCUCAUACUUAUAUCAGAAAUAUUCAAAAUAAAGGGGUUUUCAGCCUUGGAAAGAAUUAAUUCAAGGACACCCCACCUCUGGCAAAAUAGGAUUUUGUCUGGAAUCCUCCCUGCAGUGGGGUAGGAAGUGCAGACCCCACAGCCGUUUCUGGAAGUGGUUAAGCCAAAUCUGUCCCCAAGGCAGCCCUUGCUGUGGGAAAGGGAGGCUGGCAGCCCUAUAAUUUGAGAAGAACUAAAACAAAAACAGUGACCCCUGACGGGAAAAGGGACAAUUCCAAACCUUUGAGGGCCCGGCUCAGACAGCAGGGGAGUCACCCCGGCCUCCCUGCCAAGGGACAGGCUGACAAAACUCUGCCAAAAUAGCAACAUCUCUCCCUCCAGCCGACCUCAGCAGCGCCUCUGGCUGCCCACACACCUCCACAAAAACAGAAAUCGCUCACAAACAGCCUUGAGCCCGGGCAGAGCCGGGUUAUUGUGGAGUUUUUGUGCUCACAGCACCGACCCAGCCUUUCCUCUGCACGCUGUGGAUCAUUCCUGAGCAGGGCCAGCGCCUCAGCUCCUCCUCGGGAGCUCCUGGAGAGGUGGGAAUGUGGCAGCAGCGGGUUUGUCCCAGCUGGGGACAGGGAGUGGGACUGGCCAGGGGGACUCUGCUGGGGGACUCAGGGCUGGGAGCCAGAACAGCCUGGAGGGUCGGGUUAGGGCAGCAGGAGCUGCUGUGCCUCAGUGAGAAUAAAAUCCAUUUUAACAAAGCCCAAACAGCCACAGGCAGUGACCAGGACUGAGUUUAACUCGCUCAGGAACUCAGGAGAGCUCCUCCUGCUCUGCUUCACUGCCACAGGACUGAAAACCCCUCUGGGGACAGAUUUCCCUCGUGUGUGGCAGCAUCUUUUAGGGGCACAGAGCCUGGAUCCAUGAGGGGAGAGAGCAACUGCAGGCCCAGGCACUGAGGUGAGGAGUGAGAGGUCAGAGUGACUGGGAACUGUGUGAGGAAAGGUAAAAACAAUCAUUAAAAAAAUAAAAAAAUAAAUAAAGCUCAGAAGUU